ACUUGUUCACCUUUUUCUACAUAAUAUAAAAACUUUUCAUAUUCAAAUCAUAAUCUUUGUCAAUUAUGCAAAAGAUUGUAAUAUUAGUAAAUAAAAGUUAACUCAUAAAUCUUCAUAAUCCAACUCAUAAAUCUUCAUAAUCCUUUUUAAAAAGUGGCUCAAACUUGUCGAUAAUGCCAAUGUUGGCCUCGUGAAAAAGUGCCUCAUGGCCACAGACUUUACGAAAGCUUACGCCUCCACCUGUAGCGUACAAAUUAAUUUCUCGAACGUUUCACGCCACCCUUUUAAAAGAGAGUUAAAGAAUGAAACGCCAUACAACUCCCAAAAAUUCAUUUCAUUUUUUACUUUCUUCUAAGCUUAUAUCAUCUGCCUCUUCCAAUGGCUCAGGUACCUUCUUCUUUUCUUCCCUAUGAAUAUAAUCACCUAUAAUUCUGUAUACUUUCUUUCUGUAAGUUGUUUAAUGCAAUUCUUUUGUAAGCAAUUUAUGUGAAAGAAAAAGAUAGGUUCUUUUUCUACUCUGCUGUCUAACAUCUCUGGUGAGAUUUUGUAGCAGAAGGCGGUGCUAAAGAUCUUGACCAUGACCGAUGAUAAGACUAAGCAGAAGGCCAUAGAAGCUGCUGCUGAUAUUUAUGGUAUUUUUGGUUUUCUUUUCCUUUCUACUUUCUGCAACUAAGACUUUGUCCAUUCUUCACUUUUCUAUGGAAGAAAGUUAGAGAUCAUCUUGUAUCAGAUUCAUAUUAGAAGAUUGAAAAAACAGGGGUUGAUUCGAUUGCCGCUGAUCUGAAGGAGCAAAAGCUAACAGUGAUAGGGCUGAUGGAUCCAGUUGCAGUGGUGAAGAAGUUGAAGAAAGUAGGGAAAGUGGACAUAAUUUCGGUUGGGCCUGCCAAAGAAGAAAAGAAAGAAGAGAAAAAAGAAGAGAAACCUGCAGAAGAACCGAAACCAGAAGAGAAAAAAGAAGAAAACUCGGAGAAGAAAGAAGAGGAUAAAAAACCUCCAGAAGAGGAACCCAAGAAGCAAGAUGGU
This 1023-nucleotide unclassified non-coding RNA is filed under the name Hevea brasiliensis (rubber tree). The record is from RNAcentral. Lineage: Eukaryota; Viridiplantae; Streptophyta; Magnoliopsida; Malpighiales; Euphorbiaceae.